CGUUCGUUACUUUUGUAAAUGUGACUCUGUCACAAAAUUGACUUAUCCCUGUCCUAUUAAGUGAACCCUACAACAGUUAUCCAAACAGAUCAAAACCUUGACCGACUGCCAUCCCUUCCCAAGAUCUCACAUCGUCUUCUCAGGGGAAAUCCAUAGGCGUCGUGUGUUUUCGGAGCCCAGGCGGGGAAGUGUGGUCACCCAGAAAACAACACACUAGUAUUGUUUGUGUUACCGUAAAUGUAUGUGUGUUGGUUGGAUGUAGAAAAUUCCACUUAGCGCUUUAGCGGCUAUCCGCUUCCUGUCCUUUCUGUUCGUGAUCGCCUGAGGGAGCAGUUGUGCGCGACUUGAGUUUUUCAAACAAAAAACAGUGCGAAAAACAAACACAACACGUUAAAAGUAAAGCUAAAUUAUGUUAAAUUUGCUUUGUUAGUACGAAAGUGACAAAGGCAUAAACAACUGUUAAAACGACAUUAAAACGAAGCACAUUGUAAAACUGCAGAUAAAAGGUCCACAAGGGCCUUUUUCUGUUUGGCUGGUUCUUACGAACCACACCAUAAUUAUCCCCAGGCAACCAACAGUUCCGGACAGAAAACACCGUUCGAGACCGGAGUCGAGCAAGCACUUGGCAUCGACUCGAACAUAACCUCGUCUUGGACCGGUCAGCAUCAAAACAACAUCUUUUAGCCCGACGCUGGUGUCGAAAGGUCAACAAACAACAAUCAUACCAGCAUGCUUUAUUUCCGGCCGUUCCCAACUAUGCUAGAACCGGCAAGUAUUGGGGCGGCAUUUUGCAUGUCAAUCGUCUCCAGCCAGGUGCCUCCGUUACUGGUUGAGACGGUGAAUAAUAAGCCGACAGAGGAAUCGCAGCCGCGCGGCGAUUAACCAACGCCGAGGAAGAACCAAAGCCGCAAGUAUUAAUAGUGUGUGACGUCAUGCCAGGGCCCA
Molecule: long non-coding RNA, 945 nt
Organism: Uranotaenia lowii
Lineage: Eukaryota; Metazoa; Arthropoda; Insecta; Diptera; Culicidae
Exons: 4
Source: RefSeq, a predicted model, not a curated record